Molecule: ribosomal RNA, 497 nt
Filed under: uncultured bacterium
Lineage: Bacteria
Description: partial 16S ribosomal RNA
Rfam family: Bacterial small subunit ribosomal RNA
Source: RNAcentral
GAUGAACGCUGGCGGCGUGCCUAAUACAUGCAAGUCGAGCGAACCGACGAGGAGCUUGCUCCUCUGCCGUUAGCGGCGGACGGGUGAGUAACCCUUGGAUAACCUACCUAUCAGCCUGGGAUAACCUAGGGUAACCGGCGCUAUUACCGGGUACUAUAUUGCACCGCAUGGUUCAAUAUUGACAGCCUGUUUUGCUGUCCCUUAUAGAUGGAUCCGCGCCGCAUUAGCGAGUUGGUAAGGUAACCGCUUACCAAGGCGACGAUGCGUAGCCGACCUGAGAGGGUGAUCGGCCACACUGGAGCUGAGACACGGUCCAGACUCCUACGGGAGGCAGCAGUAGGGAAUCUUGCGCAAUGGGCGAAAGCCUGACGGGGCAACGCCGCGUGAGUGAUGAAGGUCUUCGGAUCGUAAAACGCUGUGAUUAGUGAAGAACAAAUGUGUAAGGAACUAUGCACGGCUAGACGGUACCUAAGCAGAAAGCCACGGCUAACUACGUG